Molecule: ribosomal RNA, 580 nt
Filed under: Mucor sp. 709
Lineage: Eukaryota; Fungi; Mucoromycota; Mucoromycetes; Mucorales; Mucoraceae
Description: eukaryotic LSU rRNA
Rfam family: 5.8S ribosomal RNA (bases 206-358)
Source: RNAcentral
UUAAUAAUUUUGGCUUGUCCAUCAUUAUCUAUUUACUGUGAACUGUAUUAUUGCAUGGCGCUUGAGAGAUGUCUGGACAUUAUAAUAGGUAGAUGUUCAGAAUGCUAAUCGAGCCAUGGUCAAGCUUAGGCUUGGUACCUUAUUAUUAUUUACCAAAAGAAUUCAGUAUUAAUAUUGUAACAUAGACCUAAAAAAUCUAUAAAACAACUUUUAACAACGGAUCUCUUGGUUCUCGCAUCGAUGAAGAACGUAGCAAAGUGCGAUAACUAGUGUGAAUUGCAUAUUCAGUGAAUCAUCGAGUCUUUGAACGCAUCUUGCGCCUUUUGGUAUUCCAAGAGGCACGCCUGUUUCAGUAUCAAAAACAACCCUCUUUCAAAACAUUUUGCUUUGAAAGGAUUAUGAGAGUAUUUCUUGCAAAGACUCUUUAAAUAUAUAAGGCCUGAAUUUGUUUACCUGCCUAAACUUUUUUUUAAUAUAAAGGAAAGCUUUUGCAAUUGAACUUGUAUUGGGGCCUCCCAAAUAAAUCAUUUUUAAAUUUGAUCUGAAAUCAGGUGGGAUUACCCGCUGAACUUAAGCAUAU